AUUGAACGCUGGCGGCAUGCUUUACACAUGCAAGUCGAACGGUAACAGGCCUUCGGGUGCUGACGAGUGGCGAACGGGUGAGUAAUGCAUCGGAACGUACCCAGAGGUGGGGGAUAACGCAGCGAAAGCUGUGCUAAUACCGCAUGUGAUCUGAGGAUGAAAGCGGGGGACCGAGCAGCAAUGUUUGGCCUCGCGCCUUUGGAGCGGCCGAUGUCGGAUUAGCUAGUUGGUGGGGUAAAGGCCUACCAAGGCGACGAUCCGUAGCUGGUCUGAGAGGACGACCAGCCACACUGGGACUGAGACACGGCCCAGACUCCUACGGGAGGCAGCAGUGGGGAAUUUUGGACAAUGGGCGCAAGCCUGAUCCAGCAAUGCCGCGUGCGGGAAGAAGGCCUUCGGGUUGUAAACCGCUUUUGGUAGGAACGAAACGGUGUCCGCUAAUACCGGGCGCUAAUGACGGUACCUGCAGAAUAAGCACCGGCUAACUACGCG
RNAcentral lists this ribosomal RNA (492 nucleotides) under uncultured bacterium. RNAcentral describes it as "partial 16S ribosomal RNA". It matches the Rfam family "Bacterial small subunit ribosomal RNA", at positions 29 to 507 of the family's 1533-position model. The record is from RNAcentral.